Small nuclear RNA from Panthera leo (lion), 168 nucleotides. Its record names the gene U4. It matches the Rfam family "U4 spliceosomal RNA". From Rfam's summary of the family: U4 small nuclear RNA (U4 snRNA) is a component of the major U2-dependent spliceosome. The structure of U4 snRNA from yeast and human has been reported. The record is from Ensembl. NCBI's taxonomy places the organism in Eukaryota, Metazoa, Chordata, Mammalia, Carnivora, Felidae.
AGCUUUGCGCAGUGGCAGUAUCGUAGCCAAUGAGGUUUAUCCGAGGCGCGAUUAUUGCUAAUUGAAAACUUUUCCCAAAUCCUUGUAGGUCAGAACUCUAAUUAUCAUCCUGUGGUCUGUUGUGGUAAUGUGCCCACCACCACAAGUAGUAGGCACGUCUUUUUGGAC